RNAcentral lists this ribosomal RNA (253 nucleotides) under uncultured bacterium. Its description in RNAcentral is "partial 16S ribosomal RNA". It matches the Rfam family "Bacterial small subunit ribosomal RNA", at positions 524 to 776 of the family's 1533-position model. The record is from RNAcentral.
UACGUAGGGACCAAGCGUUGUUCGGAUUUACUGGGCGUAAAGGGCGCGUAGGCGGCUUGACAAGUCACUUGUGAAAUCUCCGGGCUUAACUCGGAACUGCCAAGUGAAACUGUCAUGCUAGAGUGCAGAAGGGGCAAUCGGAAUUCUUGGUGUAGCGGUGAAAUGCGUAGAUAUCUGGAGGAACACCGGUGGCGAAGGCGGCAUCCUGGACCGGCAUUGACGCUGAGGAGCGAAAGCCAGGGGAGCAAACGGG